This 619-nucleotide long non-coding RNA is filed under the name Equus caballus (horse). Its description in RNAcentral is "lncRNA (ENSECAG00000034677.3)". Lineage: Eukaryota; Metazoa; Chordata; Mammalia; Perissodactyla; Equidae. The record is from RNAcentral.
CCUGCCUCUAGGCUUGCGGAACCAACUGCUGGGAGGCAGCUGGGUUUGCAGAGAGGCCGGUGGUCAGCAGCACCUGUGAGGCUAUCAGUCCCUUCUUGGAACGGUUCUUCAAAAUUUACAGUAUGGAAAGCCCAGCGGUGAUGUUCAAGCCUCUACUGAGAAAACAGCAAGGGCUUUGGAUCAGGACAGACCUGAUGUCCUUGACUUUUGCGUAUGUCCUCUUUGCGUUUUGGAAUCCCAUUCUGGAUACCGCAUCACAUUUAGUCAUCGCAUCUCAUCUCGGCUGUGGCAGAAAGAUCAUCUUUUUUGAUGUCAAGGCAUCCCCCAGAGGAAGAAAAUAGAUUCCAGACCUGCUGCUAAUCCUCUCCUUCCCAACUUCCUAAGCCAUUCUUCUCAGUGACAAUUCGAGUGCUACUGCUUGGUGUCACAUCAUUAUAAUCAUGUGAACAAGACCUCAUGAUGCUAUAGUUGCUGCUGGCAGCCAUCUUGUGACCAAAACAAGAAGGGCUUUUAGGAUAAAGGAAACACUCUAGACAGCAGAGGAGAAAGACAAAAACAUCUGUAUCCCUGAUGUCAUAGCUUGAGCCAUGGAAUCAAAUCACCCUGCAGUUGGCUGUUG